This 468-nucleotide ribosomal RNA is filed under the name uncultured bacterium. RNAcentral describes it as "partial 16S ribosomal RNA". It matches the Rfam family "Bacterial small subunit ribosomal RNA", at positions 28 to 507 of the family's 1533-position model. The record is from RNAcentral.
GACGAACGCUGGCGGCGUGCUUAACACAUGCAAGUCGAACGGAAAGGCCCUGCUUUUGUGGGGUGCUCGAGUGGCGAACGGGUGAGUAACACGUGAGUAACCUGCCCUUGUCUUUGGGAUAACUUCAGGAAACUGGGGCUAAUACCGGAUAGGAGCUCCUGCGGCAUGGUGGGGGUUGGAAAGUUUCGGCGGUUGGGGAUGGACUCGCGGCUUAUCAGCUUGUUGGUGGGGUAGUGGCUUACCCAGGCUUUGACGGGUAGCCGGCCUGAGAGGGUGACCGGCCACAUUGGGACUGAGAUACGGCCCAGACUCCUACAGGAGGCAGCAGUGGGAAAUAUUGCACAAUGGGCGGGAGCCUGAUGCAGCAACGCCGCGUGCGGGAUGACGGCCUUCGGGUUAUAAACCGCUUUCGCCUGUGACGAAGCGUGAGUGACGGUAAUGAGUAAAGAAGCACCGGCUAACUACGUG